CAAAACCUCUCAGCUAUUUACUUUAUUGUAGGUGCUGGUUAUUGGGUGUUUGGAGGACUUGGUCCCUUGUGGCCAGCUCCCGCCUUAAACUUGCUGCACGACCGCAAGCUAUUGCUAGGUUAAUGGAGUGGUAUUUUCUUAUAAUUCCAGCGACUCUUACAUAGCUUUCGCGGCGUUAAACCUGAUGUCGCCUUACCGCUACUGAA
RNAcentral lists this unclassified non-coding RNA (206 nucleotides) under uncultured Orbiliales. RNAcentral describes it as "sequence contains ITS2". The record is from RNAcentral. Lineage: Eukaryota; Fungi; Ascomycota; Orbiliomycetes; Orbiliales.